UAAUACGUAGGACGCGAGCGUUAUCCGGAUUCACUGGGCGUAAAGCGCCUGCAGGCGGUUUCGUAAGUUGGGUGUGAAAGCCCCAGGCUUAACCUGGGGAGGCCAUUCAAUACUGCGGAGCUUGAGGACGGGAGAGGGAAGCGGAAUUCCCGGUGUAGCGGUAAAAUGCGCAGAUAUCGGGAGGAACACCAGUGGCGAAGGCGGCUUCCUGGCCCGUUCCUGACGCUCGGAGGCGAAAGCUAGGGGAGCAAACAGGAUUAGAGACCCUGGUAGUCCUAGCCCUAAACAAUGGAUGCUGGGUGUGGGGGUGAAUAGCCUCUGUGCCGAAGCUAACGCGUUAAGCAUCCCGCCUGGGGACUACGGCCGCAAGGUUAAAACUCAAACGAAUUGACGGGGCCCCGCAC
RNAcentral lists this ribosomal RNA (404 nucleotides) under uncultured Chloroflexota bacterium. Its description in RNAcentral is "bacterial SSU rRNA". It matches the Rfam family "Bacterial small subunit ribosomal RNA", at positions 521 to 926 of the family's 1533-position model. The record is from RNAcentral. Lineage: Bacteria; Bacillati; Chloroflexota.